RNAcentral lists this ribosomal RNA (253 nucleotides) under uncultured bacterium. RNAcentral describes it as "partial 16S ribosomal RNA". It matches the Rfam family "Bacterial small subunit ribosomal RNA", at positions 524 to 776 of the family's 1533-position model. The record is from RNAcentral.
UACGUAGGGGCCGAGCGUUGUCCGGAGUUAUUGGGCGUAAAGCGCGCGCAGGCGGCCUCGCGCGCCCGACGUGAAAGCCCCCGGCUUAACCGGGGAGGGUCGUUGGGGACGGCGGGGCUUGAGGGCGGGAGAGGUCGGUGGAAUUCCCGGUGUAGUGGUGAAAUGCGCAGAUAUCGGGAGGAACACCUAUGGCGAAGGCAGCUCGCUGGGACGUUACUGACGCUGAGACGCGAAAGCGUGGGGAGCAAACAGG